UGACAUAGACGCUGGUCUUGAGGAUUAAGCCAUGCACGUUGGGCACGCGGAAGCAAGCAGCGAACGGCUCAGUAACGCAGUCCGGACCGGCUUGGCAGAAUGCGGCGGACACCCGAGGAAACCUUCGGUCAAGACGACGAAAGGAAGGGGGCAUCCGAGAGGAGACAGGACGCCAGAGCGGCGCAGGGCGCAGCCAAACGGGAGACUGGCCCAUCAGCUAGAAGGCCGGGUACGGGCCGGCCUUGGCGACGACGGGAGACGGGGAAUAGGGGUUUGAUUCCGGAGAGGGUGUAUGAGACAUGGCACCUAGGUCCAAGGACCGCAGCAGGCGCGGAAAUUGCUCACUUCCCAGAGGGAGAAGCAGCGAGGAGACAUACGGCGGAUGGGCGCGGGGCAAUGCAGCGCGCGACGAGCGACUGGAGGGCAAGUCUGGUGCCAGCAGCCGCGGUAAUUCCAGCUCCAGAAGGGUCUGUGGUGGUUGCUGCAGUUAAAAGGUCCGCAGCCGGGCAGGGCGCCCGUGGGGAAAGCAGGCGGCUCAAAGGGAGCGUUGAGCACGGGACAAGGGCCGAGAGGGGCAGGCGGGGGCAGGAGGAUUUGGCAGCCAGAGGUGAAAUUYGGAGACUUGCCGAGGACGGACAGAGGCGAAGGCGCCUGCCAGGGAUGCUUUCAUUGGUCAGGGACGAAAGCCGGAGGAUCGAAGACGAU
RNAcentral lists this ribosomal RNA (705 nucleotides) under uncultured Microsporidium. Its description in RNAcentral is "bacterial SSU rRNA". It matches the Rfam family "Microsporidia small subunit ribosomal RNA", at positions 19 to 661 of the family's 1311-position model. The record is from RNAcentral. Lineage: Eukaryota; Fungi; Microsporidia.